This 345-nucleotide unclassified non-coding RNA is filed under the name soil metagenome. RNAcentral's name for it is "partial contains 5.8S ribosomal RNA, internal transcribed spacer 2, and large subunit ribosomal RNA". The stretch from base 1 to 121 matches the Rfam family "5.8S ribosomal RNA", at positions 35 to 154 of the family's 154-position model. The record is from RNAcentral.
GAUGAAGAACGUAGCGAAAUGCGAUAAGUAAUGCGAAUUGCAGAAUUUCCGUGAGUCAUCGAAUCUUUGAACGCACAUUGCGCCCACUGGUAUUCCGGUGGGCAUGCCUGUUCGAGCGUCAUUAUCCUCCCUCAAACCUCGGGUUUGGUGUUGGACCCAAGUUGUGUGAACAACUGGUCUUAAAGACAAUGACGGCGUCCGUGGGACCCUCGGUGCAACGAGCUUUUAGGAGCACGCGUCGAGUUUCAAGGACCUUCCGGGCCGGUCUCCUUUACCAUUUUACAAGGUUGACCUCGGAUCAGGUAGCAAUACCCGCUGAACUUAAGCAUAUCAAUAAGCGGAGGA